This 70-nucleotide transfer RNA is filed under the name Camelus bactrianus (Bactrian camel). It matches the Rfam family "tRNA". Rfam says of the family: Transfer RNA (tRNA) molecules are approximately 80 nucleotides in length. Their secondary structure includes four short double-helical elements and three loops (D, anti-codon, and T loops). Further hydrogen bonds mediate the characteristic L-shaped molecular structure. tRNAs have two regions of fundamental functional importance: the anti-codon, which is responsible for specific mRNA codon recognition, and the 3' end, to which the tRNAs corresponding amino acid is attached (by aminoacyl-tRNA synthetases). tRNAs cope with the degeneracy of the genetic code in two manners: having more than one tRNA (with a specific anti-codon) for a particular amino acid; and 'wobble' base-pairing, i.e. permitting non-standard base-pairing at the 3rd anti-codon position. RNAcentral also lists the same sequence under 1 other name. Lineage: Eukaryota; Metazoa; Chordata; Mammalia; Artiodactyla; Camelidae. The record is from Rfam by way of RNAcentral.
GGGGGAGGUUCCAUGGUAGAGCGCGUGCUUAGCAUGCACAAGGUCCUGGGUUCAAUCCCCAGUCCCUCCA